Molecule: unclassified non-coding RNA, 160 nt
Filed under: uncultured Pezizella
Lineage: Eukaryota; Fungi; Ascomycota; Leotiomycetes; Helotiales; Hyaloscyphaceae
Description: sequence contains ITS1
Source: RNAcentral
CAGAGUUCAUGCCCUUCGGGGUAGACCUCCCACCCUUUGUAUACAUUGCCUUUGUUGCUUUGGCGGGCCGCCUUUUGGCCACCGGCCCCGGCUGGUGCGCGCCCGCCAGAGAACCCCAAACCCUGUCUUACAGUGUCGUCCGAGUACUAUAUAAUAGUUA